Molecule: long non-coding RNA, 525 nt
Filed under: Androctonus crassicauda
Lineage: Eukaryota; Metazoa; Arthropoda; Arachnida; Scorpiones; Buthidae
Source: RNAcentral
UCCUGCAUGUUAUCAUUAAUUACCAUUUCAUUUAAAGCAUUUUUUAAUAAUUUAAAUGAUAAGCAAAUGCAAAAUUUUUAUAUUAAUGUGUAUACAUAGCUCAAACUUACUUAAAAUCGUUAUCGAUAUUGUAUAUUAUAAAUUAAUUAGCAAAUAUAUCAAAGUUAAGUAAUGUUACCACUAUUGUGUUAAAUAAAUAUGCUUUUUCAGCAACUGUCUGUCCUGGAAAUGAAGUCCAUACGAGACAAGUAUCUCAGAGUAUAUAAGAAAAGUGGAUCAGGAGCUGAUGGGAUAAUAGAGGAUCACAACAUGGACUGUGAGCAGUUAUUUGAAUUUUCUGAAUCCUUAUUUAAAGCCAAAAAGGUAUUAUAUCAUUUGUUAAAAGUAAUAAUUCUAUUUUACUAAACAAUAACCAAGCUAAUUUAACUUAAUAUAUGGGUUUUUCAGGUCAAAAUAACAAUUUUUCAUUUCAAAUUAACAAUUUUUCAUUUCAAAUUAACAAUUUUUCAUUUCAAAUUAACAAUU